AACGAACGCUGGCGGCAUGCCUAACACAUGCAAGUCGAACGAGACCUUCGGGUCUAGUUGCGCACGGGUGCGUAACGCGUGGGAACCUGCCCUUAGGUUCGGAAUAACUCCCCGAAAGGGGUGCUAAUACCGGAUAAUGUCUUCGGACCAAAGAUUUAUCGCCUUUGGAUGGGCCCGCGUUGGUUUAGCGAGUUGGUAGGGUAAAAGCCUACCAAGGCGUCGAUCCAUAGCUGGUCUGAGAGGAUGAUCAGCCACACUGGGACUGAGACACGGCCCAGACUCCUACGGGAGGGAGCAGUGGGGAAUAUUGGACAAUGGGGGAAAGCCUGAUCCAGCUAUGCCGCGUGAGUGAUGAAGGCCUUAGGGUUGUAAAGCUCUUUUACACGGGAUGAUAAUGACAGUACCGGGAGAAUAAGCACCGGCUAACUCCGUG
Molecule: ribosomal RNA, 433 nt
Filed under: uncultured bacterium
Lineage: Bacteria
Description: partial 16S ribosomal RNA
Rfam family: Bacterial small subunit ribosomal RNA
Source: RNAcentral